RNAcentral lists this microRNA precursor (86 nucleotides) under Caenorhabditis brenneri. Its description in RNAcentral is "mir-44 microRNA precursor family". It matches the Rfam family "mir-44 microRNA precursor family". Lineage: Eukaryota; Metazoa; Nematoda; Chromadorea; Rhabditida; Rhabditidae. The record is from Rfam by way of RNAcentral.
AAACUGCCACGCUGGAUGUGCUCGUUAGUCAUAGUAGCCUAUCCUGAACGGCCUAUGACUAGAGACACAUUCAGCUUGGCUCCGAU